Cavia porcellus (domestic guinea pig) is the source of this 99-nucleotide unclassified non-coding RNA. It matches the Rfam family "Y RNA". Rfam says of the family: Y RNAs are components of the Ro ribonucleoprotein particle (Ro RNP), in association with Ro60 and La proteins. The Y RNAs and Ro60 and La proteins are well conserved, but the function of the Ro RNP is not known. Lineage: Eukaryota; Metazoa; Chordata; Mammalia; Rodentia; Caviidae. The record is from Ensembl.
GGCUGGUCCGAUGGCAGUGGAUUAUCAGAACUUAUUAACAUUAGUGUCACUAAAGUUGGUGUACGACCCCCCCCCACUGCUAAAUUUGACUGGCUUAAA